GUCUACAGCCAUGCCACUCUGAACAAGCCUGUCGUCUGAUCUCCAAAGCUAAGCAGGGUUGGGCCUGGUUAGUACUUGGCUGGGAGACCACCUUGGAAGACCAGGUGCUGUAGGCA
This 116-nucleotide ribosomal RNA is filed under the name Pteropus alecto (black flying fox). The record is from RNAcentral. Lineage: Eukaryota; Metazoa; Chordata; Mammalia; Chiroptera; Pteropodidae.